This 253-nucleotide ribosomal RNA is filed under the name uncultured bacterium. RNAcentral's name for it is "partial 16S ribosomal RNA". It matches the Rfam family "Bacterial small subunit ribosomal RNA", at positions 524 to 776 of the family's 1533-position model. The record is from RNAcentral.
UACGGGGGGGGCGAGCGUUGUUCGGAAUCAUUGGGCGUAAAGGGCGCGUAGGCGGCUCGGCAAGUCAGUUGUGAAAGCCCUCGGCUCAACCGAGGAAUUGCGUCUGAUACUGCCGUGCUCGAGUCCCGGAGAGGGUAGCGGAAUUCCCAGUGUAGCGGUGAAAUGCGUAGAUAUUGGGAGGAACACCAGUGGCGAAGGCGGCUACCUGGACGGGUACUGACGCUGAGGCGCGAAAGCUAGGGGAGCAAACAGG